This 433-nucleotide ribosomal RNA is filed under the name uncultured bacterium. Its description in RNAcentral is "partial 16S ribosomal RNA". It matches the Rfam family "Bacterial small subunit ribosomal RNA", at positions 29 to 507 of the family's 1533-position model. The record is from RNAcentral.
AACGAACGCUGGCGGCAUGCCUAACACAUGCAAGUCGAACGAGACCUUCGGGUCUAGUGGCGCACGGGUGCGUAACGCGUGGGAACCUGCCCUUAGGUUCGGAAUAACUCCCCGAAAGGGGUGCUAAUACCGGAUAAUGUCUUCGGACCAAAGACUUAUCGCUUUUGGAUGGGCCCGCGUUGGAUUAGCUAGUUGGUAGGGUAAAAGCCUACCAAGGCGACGAUCCAUAGCUGGUCUGAGAGGAUGAUCAGCCACACUGGGACUGAGACACGGCCCAGACUCCUACGGGAGGCAGCAGUAGGGAAUAUUGGACAAUGGGCGAAAGCCUGAUCCAGCAAUGCCGCGUGAGUGAUGAAGGCCUUAGGGUUGUAAAGCUCUUUUACCCGGGAUGAUAAUGACAGUACCGGGAGAAUAAGCUCCGGCUAACUCCGUG